CGGGGCGUAGCGUAGCCUGGUAGCGCGCCUGCUUUGGGAGCAGGAUGUCGGGAGUUCAAAUCUCUCCGCCCCGACCA
RNAcentral lists this transfer RNA (77 nucleotides) under Methylophilaceae bacterium. RNAcentral describes it as "tRNA-Pro". It matches the Rfam family "tRNA". From Rfam's summary of the family: Transfer RNA (tRNA) molecules are approximately 80 nucleotides in length. Their secondary structure includes four short double-helical elements and three loops (D, anti-codon, and T loops). The record is from RNAcentral. Lineage: Bacteria; Pseudomonadati; Pseudomonadota; Betaproteobacteria; Nitrosomonadales; Methylophilaceae.